GACAGCCUUGGAUACCCAAAAACCCCAUUCCAAACAUCUUGAAAUGCAACUCUGGUUUUGUGAAGUCCCUUGUGUUGCUGUAAAGUAAACCAGCCUGCUUCCCCUGCAAGAGGGCCAUGGCUGGCCGUGGGCUCUGUCCUCUUUGAUCCUGAUUCGGGAGGGAAAUGACGUGGAAAGGAGAUGGAAUCUCAGGGCUGGCAUCCAUUUCGCUGGUGGAGACAAACACACUUCCAGAGAUGUGAAAAAUCCCACUUGGUUUAAGUCAUUUUGCUUCCUGCCCAGGACGUCUAAAGGGGCCCUUGUUCUCUGUGAGCUGGUGUGCAUUUUAUGCUGGUAUGAGUGUUGCCAGUGGGGUGGAGGCAGUUGAUUCUGACAAAUAAAUGGUUGCAAAGUCAAUAGUAGCCUAAGGAUGGAUGCACCGCAGCGCCUAUAUCAUUCCCCUCGCCGCAUCUCAUCACGCAGCUAUUUAUCAUCUCACAUCAUCAU
Non-coding RNA from Manis javanica (Malayan pangolin), 486 nucleotides. The record is from RefSeq and is a predicted model, not a curated record. NCBI's taxonomy places the organism in Eukaryota, Metazoa, Chordata, Mammalia, Pholidota, Manidae.